RNAcentral lists this ribosomal RNA (460 nucleotides) under uncultured bacterium. RNAcentral describes it as "partial 16S ribosomal RNA". It matches the Rfam family "Bacterial small subunit ribosomal RNA", at positions 338 to 795 of the family's 1533-position model. The record is from RNAcentral.
CCUACGGGUAGCAGCAGUGAGGAAUAUUGGUCAAUGGACGCAAGUCUGAACCAGCCAUGCCGCGUGCAGGAAGACGGCUCUAUGAGUUGUAAACUGCUUUUGUACGAGGGUAAACGCAGAUACGCGUAUCUGUCUGAAAGUAUCGUACGAAUACGGAUCGGCUACCUCCGUGCCAGCAGCUGCGGUAAUACGGAGGAUUCAAGCGUUAUCCGGAUUUAUUGUGUUUAAAGGGUGCGUAGGCGGUCGGAUAAGUUAGAGGUGAAAUCCCGAGGCUCAACUUCGGAAUUGACUCUGAUACUGUUCGGAUAGAGAGUAGUUGCAGUAGGCGGAAUGUAUGGUGUAGCGGUGAAAUGCUUAUAGAUCAUACAGAACACCGAUUGCGAAGGCAGCUUACCAAGCUACUUCUGACGUUGAGGCACGAAAGCGUGGGGAGCAAACAGGAGUAGAUACCCGGGUAGGC